This 668-nucleotide ribosomal RNA is filed under the name uncultured bacterium. RNAcentral describes it as "bacterial SSU rRNA". It matches the Rfam family "Bacterial small subunit ribosomal RNA", at positions 111 to 794 of the family's 1533-position model. The record is from RNAcentral.
UAACGCGUGGGUAACCUGCCUUNCACUGGGGGAUAACACUUAGAAAUAGGUGCUAAUACCGCAUAAGCGCACGAAGCCGCAUGGAUUUGUGUGAAAAACUCCGGUGGUGUAAGAUGGACCCGCGUCUGAUUAGCUUGUUGGCGGGGUAACGGCCCACCAAGGCGACGAUCAGUAGCCGGCCUGAGAGGGUGGACGGCCACAUUGGGACUGAGACACGGCCCAAACUCCUACGGGAGGCAGCAGUGGGGGAUAUUGGACAAUGGGGGGAACCCUGAUCCAGCGACGCCGCGUGAGUGAAGAAGUAUUUCGGUAUGUAAAGCUCUGUCAGCAGGGAAGAAAGAAAUGACGGUACCUGACCAAGAAGCCCCGGCUAACUACGUGCCAGCAGCCGCGGUAAUACGUAGGGGGCAAGCGUUAUCCGGAAUUACUGGGUGUAAAGGGAGCGUAGACGGUUAAGUAAGUCUGGAGUGAAAGGCCGGGGUCCAACCCCGGGACUGCUCUGGAAACUAUUCAACUUGAGUGCAGGAGAGGUAAGCGGAAUUCCUAGUGUAGCGGUGAAAUGCGUAGAUAUUAGGAGGAACACCAGUGGCGAAGGCGGCUUACUGGACUGUAACUGACGUUGAGGCUCGAAAGCGUGGGGAGCAAACAGGAUUAGAUACCCUGGUAGU